This 408-nucleotide ribosomal RNA is filed under the name uncultured Clostridia bacterium. RNAcentral's name for it is "bacterial SSU rRNA". It matches the Rfam family "Bacterial small subunit ribosomal RNA", at positions 9 to 426 of the family's 1533-position model. Lineage: Bacteria; Bacillati; Bacillota; Clostridia. The record is from RNAcentral.
GAGUUUGAUCCUGGCUCAGGAUGAACGCUGGCGGCGUGCCUAACACAUGCAAGUCGAGCGAUCUUCUUCGGAAGAGAGCGGCGGACGGGUGAGUAACGCGUGGGUAACCUGCCCUGUACACACGGAUAACAUACCGAAAGGUAUGCUAAUACGAGAUAAUAUACUUUUAUCGCAUGGUAGAAGUAUCAAAGCUUUUGCGGUACAGGAUGGACCCGCGUCUGAUUAGCUAGUUGGUGAGGUAACGGCUCACCAAGGCGACGACGCGUAGCCGGACUGAGAGGUUGGCCGGCCACAUUGGGACUGAGACACUGCCCAGACUCCUACGGGGGGCUGCAGUAACGAAUCUUCCGCAAUGCACGCAAGUGUGACGGAGCGACGCCGCGUGUAGGAUGAAGUCCUUCGGAGUGU